AUACGGCCCAGACUCCUACGGGAGGCAGCAGUGGGGAAUUUUGCGCAAUGGGGGGAACCCUGACGCAGCAACGCCGCGUGCGGGACGAAGGCCUUCGGGUUGUAAACCGCUUUCAGCAGGGAAGAAGUUGACGGUACCUGCAGAAGAAGCCCCGGCUAACUACGUGCCAGCAGCCGCGGUAAUACGUAGGGGGCGAGCGUUAUCCGGAUUCAUUGGGCGUAAAGCGCGCGUAGGCGGCCCGUCAAGCGGAACCUCUAACCCGAGGGCUCAACCCCCGGUCGGGUUCCGAACUGGCAGGCUCGAGUUUGGUAGAGGAAGAUGGAAUUCCCGGUGUAGCGGUGGAAUGCGCAGAUAUCGGGAAGAACACCGAUGGCGAAGGCAGUCUUCUGGGCCAUCAACUGACGCUGAGGCGCGAAAGCUGGGGGAGCGAACAGGAUUAGAUACCCUGGUAGUCCCAGCCGUAAACGAUGGGCGCUAGGUGUGGGGGGGUCAUCCCUCCGUGCCGCAGCCAACGCAUUAAGCGCCCCGCCUGGGGAGUACGGCCGCAAGGCUAAAACUCAAAGGAAUUGACGGGGGCCCGCACAAGCAGCGGAGCAUGUGGCUUAAUUCGAAGCAACGCGAAGAACCUUACCAGGGCUUGACAUGCUAGUGAAGCCGGGGAAACCCGGUGGCCGAGAGGAGCUAGCGCAGGUGGUGCAUGGCUGUCGUCAGCUCGUGUCGUGAGAUGUUGGGUUAAGUCCCGCAACGAGCGCAACCCCCGCCGCGUGUUGCCAUCGGGUGAUGCCGGGAACCCACGCGGGACCGCCGCCGUCAAGGCGGAGGAGGG
RNAcentral lists this ribosomal RNA (826 nucleotides) under human gut metagenome. RNAcentral describes it as "bacterial SSU rRNA". It matches the Rfam family "Bacterial small subunit ribosomal RNA", at positions 324 to 1173 of the family's 1533-position model. The record is from RNAcentral.